CUCCACUCAGGCUUUCACUGGAUUGACCCAGUCCCUCCCUCUGCCUCCCUGAUAUCAACGCAAAGAGCAGAGCCUGAUAUCAGCCCUUCAUUUAUAUUUUUCACCAUCAGUGUCCUGGAAUUUGUAUCGGAUUCAUCACUGUAGACUUACACAGCAUGAGACCCACUAAGAAACAGUCGCUGAGGUGUCCAUGAGGUUGUAGGAUGGAGGUCUCUGUUUCCUUACUGGCUUUCAUCCGGGUCUCACACAGCUUUUAGAGGACACCCUUAUUUUUUGGCUCUCACUCUGCCUCCUCCAUCUUCAAAGCCAACAAUGGCUAAGCUCUUCUCAUGUGUCACAUCUCUCUGAUCUCUCUCCUUCCUUACCUCUCCUCUGCUUUCCUCUUCUACUGCAUCUUUGACUCC
This 404-nucleotide long non-coding RNA is filed under the name Equus caballus (horse). RNAcentral describes it as "lncRNA (ENSECAG00000050138.1)". Lineage: Eukaryota; Metazoa; Chordata; Mammalia; Perissodactyla; Equidae. The record is from RNAcentral.